UAGGGAAUCUUCGGCAAUGGACGAAAGUCUGACCGAGCAACGCCGCGUGAGUGAAGAAGGUUUUCGGAUCGUAAAACUCUGUUGUUAGAGAAGAACAAGGACGUUAGUAACUGAACGUCCCCUGACGGUAUCUAACCAGAAAGCCACGGCUAACUACGUGCCAGCAGCCGCGGUAAUACGUAGGUGGCAAGCGUUGUCCGGACUUAUUGGGCGUAAAGCGAGCGUAGGCGGUUUCUUAAGUCUGAUGUGAAAGCCCCCGGCUCAACCGGGGAGGGGCGUUGGAAGCUGGGAGACUUGAGUGCAGAAGAGGAGGGUGGAAUUCAAUGUGUAGCGGUGAAAUGCGUAGAUAUAUGGAGGAACACCAGUGGCGAAGGCGGCUCUCUGGUCUGUAACUGACGCUGGGGCUCGAGAGCGUGGGGAGCAAACAGG
This 429-nucleotide ribosomal RNA is filed under the name Gemmatimonadota bacterium. RNAcentral's name for it is "Gemmatimonadetes bacterium partial 16S ribosomal RNA". It matches the Rfam family "Bacterial small subunit ribosomal RNA", at positions 355 to 776 of the family's 1533-position model. The record is from RNAcentral. Lineage: Bacteria; Pseudomonadati; Gemmatimonadota.